CAAAAGAAUGCCGUCGCUUCGGAAGUGACCAGCCGAAACGAAGAAAAUAGUUUUGGAUUUGUGGACUCCUGCAGCCGAAAACUGUGGAUUCACUACCGACUGCUAUGAAGUACACUACUUCAACUGACCAAACCUCGAAUAUUAUUCCUCUUCAAUACCAGUGCAUUGCCGUGCGACGAACAACUGAAGACCUUCAGUGGCAAACCUAACGAUAUAGCAGCAAAACUAAGGAAUCCUGUAACAGCCCGG
Molecule: non-coding RNA, 249 nt
Organism: Dermacentor albipictus
Lineage: Eukaryota; Metazoa; Arthropoda; Arachnida; Ixodida; Ixodidae
Source: RefSeq, a predicted model, not a curated record